Triticum aestivum (bread wheat) is the source of this 134-nucleotide non-coding RNA. NCBI's taxonomy places the organism in Eukaryota, Viridiplantae, Streptophyta, Magnoliopsida, Poales, Poaceae. The record is from Rfam.
AAAGUACUCCCUCCGUCCGGAAAUACUUGUCAUUAAAAUGAAUAAAAGGAAUGUAUCUAUACGUAUUUUAGUUUUAGAUACAUCUAUUUUUAUUCAUUUUGAUGAUAAGUAUUUUCGGACUUAGGGAGUAGUAA